CACUCCUACGGGAGGCAGCAGUGGGGAAUUUUGGACAAUGGGCGAAAGCCUGAUCCAGCAAUGCCGCGUGAGUGAAGAAGGCCUUCGGGUUGUAAAGCUCUUUUGUCAGGGAAGAAACGGUGAAAGCUAAUAUCUUUUGCUAAUGACGGUACCUGAAGAAUAAGCACCGGCUAACUACGUGCCAGCAGCCGCGGUAAUACGUAGGGUGCAAGCGUUAAUCGGAAUUACUGGGCGUAAAGCGUGCGCAGGCGGUUUUGUAAGUCUGAUGUGAAAUCCCCGGGCUCAACCUGGGAAUUGCAUUGGAGACUGCAAGGCUAGAAUCUGGCAGAGGGGGGUAGAAUUCCACGUGUAGCAGUGAAAUGCGUAGAUAUGUGGAGGAACACCGAUGGCGAAGGCAGCCCCCUGGGUCAAGAUUGACGCUCAUGCACGAAAGCGUGGGGAGCAAACAGGAUUAGAAACCCGUGUAGUCCCAUG
RNAcentral lists this ribosomal RNA (474 nucleotides) under uncultured organism. RNAcentral's name for it is "partial 16S ribosomal RNA". It matches the Rfam family "Bacterial small subunit ribosomal RNA", at positions 334 to 799 of the family's 1533-position model. The record is from RNAcentral.